This 2561-nucleotide long non-coding RNA is filed under the name Nicotiana tabacum (common tobacco). RNAcentral's name for it is "long non-coding RNA (NTAB_LNC005570)". The record is from RNAcentral. Lineage: Eukaryota; Viridiplantae; Streptophyta; Magnoliopsida; Solanales; Solanaceae.
CUGAUCUUAUAGGCAUAUUAUCUGAAAAACACAUUUGAAUUGAAAUAGACCGUAUAGGCAUGUUAUUUACCCGAUUUUACCCACAAUAUGCAAUUACCCACCCUUUUUCACUAAUCACCCUAAUAUUUGUUUACAAUAAUUAUUACAGACCAAGAACUGAAUAUAAAUUACAUAAAUAAAAUAGAAGCUGAGCUGUAGGGAGCCUGAAGCAAGCCCAAAACAGUCAUGAUGUACCAAGCCCUUACUGGUCUCAAAUGUCCAAAGUUCUAUAGCCCAAUUCAUGUCUAGGUGUGUCAUAAUUACCUAAGGACCUCAAGGAUCUCGAGAAGUGCUCACACCGAGCCUUUCCUCAAACAAAGACUGAUUAUGUGCAGUGUGGAAGUGCCAGCCCUGAUAUGACAGAGUUUAGAGAGAUCUCAAGGGUCUCAAAGCAGUACACAUAUCAAAGGGGAAGAACAUAGAAAUCUAAGAGUAAUGUGAGAGUGCAUAAUGAUUUGAAAGAGUUUGGUAAAUAGUAUAAAGAAGGUCUUAGGAAUGAAAAGAGUUUUCUGAAAACUUGUACUAGUCUGAGUGGAAAACAAUUUGAGAAAACAUGAAGAACAUUUUGAUAUCAGGGAGCAAGUCACAGAACACACAGUUUCAGAAAGUAUUUUGGGCAAACAGACUCUACAUAGAGGGAGAGAAGGAUUGGGGGGACCUAUAGAAUACAACCUAGUGUAUCAGCAAACAGAUAUGAAAAUGAGGUUGGGUAGUUGACAAAUUAGUUUCAAAGAUUACAAUAAAGACAUGUUGGUAACACAUAAGUCCUAGGUACUACCAAUACACAUGACUAGAAUACCAUUGAAAGGGCUAGAUGUCUUAGUAGGAUCUCAUUAGUGAGGUAAAGUAAGUAAGACUUAGAUGAACAAACUAGACAAACACUUCAUGCAACAUUCAAAGUUUUUAGAACUAGUAAUCACAUAUAGAACAAGUAGAAUUCAGGCAUGCUGGGUGAGACAGUAAACAAACAAUGUAGUUAGGACAUACUAGUGAACAGAUAGGAUUCAUGCGAUUGUCUAAAGUAGGAUUGGACAUGCUAAACAGUAUACUAGUUAUAGCUUUUAACAUAAUAAACUUAAACAUGAUGUGUGAUACAGUAAUCUAGGCAUGCUGAUUGCAUAUUGAAUAGAAUAGCAAAUAGAACUGGAAAUCACAACUAAUGAACUACAGUAACAAAGAAAACAUAUAGUUUGGGAAUGUGAAUUGAAUCAGGGCAUACUAGUUAAGGAGAGAAUAUAGAGUAUAGAACAGAGAUGGUGAAAAUAGCCGGCAUUGGAUUAGAGCCGGCUGGAUUAGUAAGAAUUACAAGCAACAUAAGAGAAUAGAGAGCUUUUGAGAGUGUGAGAGUGUAGAUGAACUAUUAUUCGUGUUUAAGAACCAGAAUGAGAGUGUAUAUAUAGCCCUUAGGGAGGUCAAAUAAAUAAGGUAAAAAUGAUCUAGGGUUCAUAAAUAAAGUAGGUAAAUAUAAUAAACAAGUUAAUUGGGGCUAAUCCCCAUUAAUUUGCACAAACAGAUCCGGGAAGAUCACAUUAGUACAAAGAGAAUCCAUUACCAAGCAUGAUUGGGGCUUAAGUAAGGUAACAAAAUCAUAAAUUGACCAUAAAUUAAUCAAUCAGUUGGCAUAAGGCGAAUAACACUAAUUACAAGCCACAAAUAAGGAAAGUGAGUAAAAACCCCAAAGAAUACUGACUUUAACGGAAAAAAUUAGUUCAAAUCCCUAAUAGAAAUCAAUUAAGCAAAAAAUCCCAAAGAAUUCUGGUUUUAGUAGAAAAACUGGUUCAAAUCCUUAGUAGAAAUCAAUCAGUGCAUUGAGUUGACAGAAAUAAACAAGUAAAGGAGAAAAAUUGGAGAAAAUCCGUGCAACAAACAGAAACUUCCAGGCUUUAUGUAUAUAGACGAGAAUCAGUCAAGAUGGUAAAGAAAUGAUUAUUUUAAACACUAAAAAGUUAGAAAAACCCAUUUUGAAAAACACUUAGGGGAACCCUAAUUUCAUAAGAAAGCAAAUGGAAUCGAAAUAGUUAAACAAAUUAGGAGAUCUUCAAGGGAAAAUGACAGAUAAUACUCGAACCCUUUUACAUCUACAAAGAUCUGAACGGAUUCGAGUGGUUGUAGAACUAGGAUUUUCAGAAACAACUAAGAUGAAAGAAACUUGAUUAGAAGCCAUAGAUUUGAACCUGAAACGGAAGGAAAUCAGCAGUCACAAACAAGGAUGGCUUUAGACAGGCAUGAAAACAAACUUCGGACGAAGGAACAGGUUGAAUCUCCUAGAGAUUCUUUAGGGAUCCAUGUAAUCAAUAACCAGAGGGUAUAGAAGGCCGGUAGUGGUCGGAGAAUACUCAGAAUCUCCAUAGACGAGGGUUUUUGCCGGUGACAGCAAUUAGGGUUAGGCUUAGGACUUGAGAGCUUUUGAGAGAAGAGAGGAACAGAUGACAGCAGUGAAAGGAGGAAAAUGAUUAGGGUUUGGGGGUAUAGGUUAGUUUAUUUUAGGUAAGGGCAGAUCUGGACCGUUGAUCAAAAUGAUC